Perca flavescens (yellow perch) is the source of this 698-nucleotide long non-coding RNA. RefSeq lists it as uncharacterized. The record is from RefSeq and is a predicted model, not a curated record. The transcript has 3 exons. Lineage: Eukaryota; Metazoa; Chordata; Actinopteri; Perciformes; Percidae.
CUUCAGUCAGAGUGAGGAGGAAAGUUGUCAGGACGAGAGAGGAUGAAUGGGAGAGCAGAGUGAUGACUGAAGCACUCAGACAGAGAGAGAGAGAGAAAAGGAAGGGUGAAGGAAAGAGUGAGGAGUGAGAGACGGAUAGGAGCAGGAGCGAGGUGUUGUCCAGACCAGAAGGGGCCUCUAAAAGUGUUGCAUAGAAACAGUUGUUUGCUGACGUGGUUGCCUUGCCGACGCCGCAGACUCAGGUUCAUGUCACUGAUGCUCCUCCUGAGCUCUGAGUUUCUUCCACGGUGACCACGCUCGCUCUCCUCUGGUCCGCCCCCUGAUGACAUCCUGCUCCGCCGCCAGCGCACACCUGUUGCCCAGACAAGCAGAGGAUUGGUCAGUCUGACCCUGUAUCGUGUACAGAGACAACCUGCCUGUUGAGUCUUACACAUACCUUGAUAGUUCUCUCCCUCCCUCUCACGCUCCUUCUCCUUCUCCCUCUCUUCUCUCUCAUAGUCUUCCUUUCUUUGGAUUUCAAAGCGCCGCUCAAAUCCGUCCUUAGGGCGCCACAUGUCCACUAACAACAAGGGACAUUCCCAUGGGGCAACGCUUCUCCGGCCCUCUGUCUCCCAUUUGAUAGCUCCAUCUGGCUGCUGGAUGGGCUUUCCAAUGACAUCACACAACAGGAAGUCCUCUGGGCUGUGUUUCUGGAGAAC